Molecule: ribosomal RNA, 453 nt
Filed under: Streptococcus sp. oral taxon C56
Lineage: Bacteria; Bacillati; Bacillota; Bacilli; Lactobacillales; Streptococcaceae
Description: bacterial SSU rRNA
Rfam family: Bacterial small subunit ribosomal RNA
Source: RNAcentral
GACGAACGCUGGCGGCGUGCCUAAUACAUGCAAGUAGAACGCUGAAGGAGGAGCUUGCUCUUCUGGAUGAGUUGCGAACGGGUGAGUAACGCGUAGGUAACCUGCCUGGUAGUGGGGGAUAACUAUUGGAAACGAUAGCUAAUACCGCAUAAUAACAGUUGUUGCAUGACAACUGUUUGAAAGGUGCAAUUGCAUCACUACCAGAUGGACCUGCGUUGUAUUAGCUAGUUGGUGGGGUAACGGCUCACCAAGGCGACGAUACAUAGCCGACCUGAGAGGGUGAUCGGCCACACUGGGACUGAGACACGGCCCAGACUCCUACGGGAGGCAGCAGUAGGGAAUCUUCGGCAAUGGACGAAAGUCUGACCGAGCAACGCCGCGUGAGUGAAGAAGGUUUUCGGAUCGUAAAGCUCUGUUGUAAGAGAAGAACGAGUGUGAGAGUGGAAAGUUCAC